AUGAACUUGAACGUCAGAUCGGAGGGACACACCAGCGUAGUCCCUUGAGACUGUUUAUUGGCCUCUGGAGAGAAAUGGAAAUUUAUUUGCCAGGAAGGAUGAUCCCAUUAUACUUCUGCUGGAACCAGAGCAUGGCCGCCUCCUUGCUGAUUCUGUGUUUGGCUCCAAUGCAGCCUGUCCUGUGCUGCUUGUCUGCGAUGCUGAAAUCUGGCUUACCCAGCUCCACGAAGAAGUCCAGGCUGUAGAUACCAGUGCUUGGGUCAUAUUUGGUGCCCAGAUCAAUGUGUUCCUGAAGCCCAAAACCAAAGUUUCCAAUGUUUGAGAAGUUAUUUUUUCUUAACUUGCAUUCUCGCACCUUCAGAACUAUCUCCAAGAUUUCUUCUGCCUUGGCCUCACAGACUGGUGCACGGCAAUCUUCUCAUUUCUCCUGAUGCCAAAGGACCUGAUGGUUUAUCUAGCUUUGGAGAACACCGGGGUCUGGCUAGUGAGCUGCUUCAGCACCUCGGUGGCCCGGGUCAGUCUGUCCGUGCUCUCCCCUACAUAGAUAUUGAGGCAGAGCUUGCAGAUGCACAGUUCCCACAUGGGGUUCUCCUUUUCACCUCGAUCCUGUGCCAUGGGAGGAACAGGAAGUAAUCUCCUCAUAUUAAAGGCCUGUCUGUGGUCCUUAGUAGACCUAGGUAGUGACUUCAUUCUCAUGGAUGUAUCAUGGCUUCUACAUGGAUGCUAGAACUCCUAUGGUUUUGUCCACAUUCCAAGCAGCAGAAAGACAAAAGAGUGAAGGAAGGCAAACGGUGCUUUAUUUAUUCAACGAGUGACUUCCACUGACAUUUCAUGAGCCACUCCUACCUGCCACUCCUACCUGCAAGGAGACUGGGAAACUUAACAUUUAACUUCAG
This 896-nucleotide long non-coding RNA is filed under the name Equus caballus (horse). RNAcentral describes it as "lncRNA (ENSECAG00000055917.1)". Lineage: Eukaryota; Metazoa; Chordata; Mammalia; Perissodactyla; Equidae. The record is from RNAcentral.